Molecule: long non-coding RNA, 1189 nt
Organism: Papaver somniferum (opium poppy)
Lineage: Eukaryota; Viridiplantae; Streptophyta; Magnoliopsida; Ranunculales; Papaveraceae
Exons: 3
Source: RefSeq, a predicted model, not a curated record
ACUAAGCCGCCUCUCAAUGCAUUCUCCUCUCCUUACCCUUGCGCCUCAACUUCUCUUCUUGUCAUCCAACUAGUUCGAUCGAUCAAAUUAUCUGGUACUUACUCCUAUUUUCUAAUCGUAGAAGAAAAUGAUGGAUUCAUCCGCUGAAUCUUCAAACUCGAAGGGAACGAAGGGAUUUUCAGUAAACCUAGCUAUUCUGGAUUGUAACCAAGCUGCAAGUUAAUUUGUCGUGGAUGAAGGAUGAACGAUGAUAACUCUGUUACACCCAGAAACCCCGAGACCAUGGAAAUCUCACCGCUCUUUGGUGGUGAUAUCAUCCUUAUCAAGGACAUAUUGAAGACACAAGGGGGAUGCGUAGAUUGUUCAAUGCUGUUGAAUCUAUUCCCCGUGUUACAAGGAAGGAAAAGUGGGCCUUGAAUUAGAUUCAAAGGUAUUAUUACAUUUCCCCUACUCAUUGUUGUUACAUGUAUCGUCGUCGAUUUUUCUGGAACAAGGUUUAUGUUACUGAUCAGAUUUAGUUUCCCUUUCAAAUUUAUAGUUUGUUCGAGAAGGGUCAGGGGCUGUAUCAUGCACCAAGUUUUGUCUCUAUCUAUUAACAUCGUAGUCAGUGUCACGCUCUGAAUACUCUGUAUGUUGUGCUUACUAUUGGAUAGCUGGUAAUACAUAUUGUAAGAACCUACAUUUGAUAGGAAAGCAGGAUUUAAGCAUCUGAUCAAGUACACAAUGUUCUCUUCAUUGUUGCAGCUGGAGAUUUAUAGGUUUCAGCACAAGCUGUUCUUGUAAAAAACAAAUAUCGGCAAAUGUUAUCAGGUUUUCAAAGUUACCUAAAGCUGUGCUCUAUACAUCAAUUUAGAAGCUUGCAAGUUAUAUGGAAAUUGAUGAGCGUUCUUUAAGGUUGAUGAUUAGAGAUUGGGAACCAAAAUUGUUUUCACUUUUCCCAGUUUAGGACCUGCACAUCCCAGGCCAAUUUUUAUGACUUAGAAGCACAAAAGCCAUCCUGUUUCUGUUGACGGCUGAAAGAUUACCUCCAAUGCGGGUUAAUUUACUUGUUGAUGCCUGUGACUGUGUUUUUAGAUCUUUUGUACGGAUAUUAUUGAUUUGUAAGAAUAACUAUAUGGCACACUAUACAGGAAUCAGUGUAUUGUAAUGUUUUUUCAAAUAAAUAAAUAAAUAGAAUGUUCACUUUCAA